RNAcentral lists this ribosomal RNA (211 nucleotides) under uncultured bacterium. Its description in RNAcentral is "partial 16S ribosomal RNA". It matches the Rfam family "Bacterial small subunit ribosomal RNA", at positions 125 to 334 of the family's 1533-position model. The record is from RNAcentral.
CCUACCUUUGAGACCGGGAUAGCCCUGAGAAAUCAGGAUUAAUACCGGAUGUGGUCACGACAAGGCAUCUUGAUGUGAACAAAGGCGCAAGCCGCUCAAAGACGGGCUCGCGGCUUAUUAGCUUGUUGGUGGGGUGAUGGCCUACCAAGGCGAUGAUGAGUAGCUGGUCUGAGAGGACGAUCAGCCACACUGGGACUGAGACACGGCCCAG